Molecule: ribosomal RNA, 269 nt
Filed under: uncultured prokaryote
Description: partial 16S ribosomal RNA
Rfam family: Bacterial small subunit ribosomal RNA
Source: RNAcentral
UACGUAGGUGGCAAGCGUUAUCCGGAAUUAUUGGGCGUAAAGAGCGCGCAGGUGGUUGAUUAAGUCUGAUGUGAAAGCCCACGGCUUAACCGUGGAGGGUCAUUGGAAACUGGUCGACUUGAGUGCAGAAGAGGGAAGUGGAAUUCCAUGUGUAGCGGUGAAAUGCGUAGAGAUAUGGAGGAACACCAGUGGCGAAGGCGGCUUCCUGGUCUGUAACUGACACUGAGGCGCGAAAGCGUGGGGAGCAAACCGGAUUAGAUACCCCGGUA